GGAGAGGUGUCCGAGAGGCUUAAGGAGCACGCCUGGAAAGUGUGUAUAGGCUAAUACCCUAUCGAGGGUUCGAAUCCCUCCCUCUCCG
This 88-nucleotide transfer RNA is filed under the name Thiobaca trueperi. It matches the Rfam family "tRNA". From Rfam's summary of the family: Transfer RNA (tRNA) molecules are approximately 80 nucleotides in length. Their secondary structure includes four short double-helical elements and three loops (D, anti-codon, and T loops). Lineage: Bacteria; Pseudomonadati; Pseudomonadota; Gammaproteobacteria; Chromatiales; Chromatiaceae. The record is from Rfam by way of RNAcentral.